Molecule: ribosomal RNA, 497 nt
Filed under: uncultured bacterium
Lineage: Bacteria
Description: partial 16S ribosomal RNA
Rfam family: Bacterial small subunit ribosomal RNA
Source: RNAcentral
GAUGAACGCUGGCGGCGUGCCUAAUACAUGCAAGUCGAGCGAACAGACGAGGCGCUUGCGGCUCUCACGUUUGCGGCGGACGGGAGUAUAACGCGUGUAUCCCCUACCUAUCAUACUGGUAUAACUUGGGAAAACCGUCUCUAAUCCCGGAUAAUAUUUUGAACCGCAUGGUUCGAUGGUAAAAUACGGUCUUGCUGUCUCUUCUCGAUGGAUCCGCGCUGCAUUAGCUAGUUGGUAAGGUAACGGCUUACCAAGGCAACGAUGCGUAGCCGACCUGAGAGGGUGAUAGGCCACACUGGAACGUAGACAGCGACCAGACUCCUACGGGAGGCAGCAGUAGGGUAUCGGACGCAAUGGUCGAAAGCCUGACGGAGCGACGCCGCGUGAGUGAUGGAGGUCUUCGGAUCGGAAAACUCGGUUAUUAGUGAUGAACAGAUGUGUAAGGAACUGUGCACUGCUUGACGGUACCUAAUCAGAAAGCCACGGCUAACUACGUG